This 450-nucleotide ribosomal RNA is filed under the name uncultured bacterium. RNAcentral's name for it is "bacterial SSU rRNA". It matches the Rfam family "Bacterial small subunit ribosomal RNA", at positions 328 to 793 of the family's 1533-position model. The record is from RNAcentral.
CAUCCAGACUCCUACGGGAGGCAGCAGUGGGGAAUAUUGCACAAUGGGGGAAACCCUGAUGCAGCGACGCCGCGUGAAGGAAGAAGUCUCUCGGUAUGUAAACUUCUAUCAGCAGGGAAGAAAACAGACGGUACCUGACUAAGAAGCCCCGGCUAACUACGUGCCAGCAGCCGCGGUAAUACGUAGGGGGCAAGCGUUAUCCGGAUUUACUGGGUGUAAAGGGGGCGCAGACGGCCAUGGCAAGCCCGGUGUGAAAGGCAGGGGCAUAACCCCUGGACUGCACUGGGAACUGUCAGGCUGGAGUGCCGGAGAGGCAGGCGGAAUUCCUAGUGUAGCGGUGAAACGCGUAGAUAUUAGGAGGAACACCAGUGGCGAAGGCGGCCUGCUGGACGAUGACUGACGUUGAGGCUCGAAAGCGUGGGGAGCACACAGGAUUAGAUACCCGGGUAC